GCCAGGCAUGGUGGCACUGCCUGUAGUCCCAGCUACUCAGGAGGCUGAGGUGGGAGGAUCUCUUGAGCCCAGGAGUUCUGGGCUGUAGUGCGCUACGCCGAUCUGGUGUCCGCACUAAGUUCGACAUCAAUAUGGUGACCUCCUAGGAGCAAGGGACCACCAGGUUGCCUAAGGAGGGGUGAACAGGCCCAGGUUGGAAACAGAGCAGGUCAGUACUCCCAUGUUGAUCAGUAGUGGGAUCGCACCUGUGAAUAGCGACUGCACUACAGCCUGGGCAACAUAGCGAGACACUGUCUCU
Molecule: signal recognition particle RNA, 298 nt
Filed under: Aotus nancymaae (Ma's night monkey)
Lineage: Eukaryota; Metazoa; Chordata; Mammalia; Primates; Aotidae
Description: Metazoan signal recognition particle RNA (ENSANAG00000003582.1)
Rfam family: Metazoan signal recognition particle RNA
About the family: The signal recognition particle (SRP) is a universally conserved ribonucleoprotein.
Source: RNAcentral